UCCUACGGGGGGCAGCAGUAGGGAAUAUUGGGCAAUGGAGGCAACUCUGACCCAGCCAUGCCGCGUGCAGGAUGACGGCCCUCUGGGUUGUAAACUGCUUUUAUACGGGAAGAAAAAAUACUACGUGUAGUAUACUGACGGUACCGUAAGAAUAAGGAUCGGCUAACUCCGUGCCAGCAGCCGCGGUAAUACGGAGGAUCCAAGCGUUGUCCGGAUUUAUUGGGUUUAAAGGGUGCGUAGGCGGAUCUUUAAGUCAGUGGUGAAAGCCUGCAGCUUAACUGUAGAAUUGCCAUUGAAACUGAAGAUCUUGAAUGUGGUUAAAGUAGGCGGAAUGUAUCAUGUAGCGGUGAAAUGCUUAGAUAUGAUACAGAACACCGAUAGCGAAGGCAGCUUGCUGAACCAUUAUUGACGCUGAGGCACGAAAGCGUGGGGAGCGAACAGGAUUAGAUACCCGUGUAGUCCA
RNAcentral lists this ribosomal RNA (463 nucleotides) under uncultured Sphingobacteriales bacterium. Its description in RNAcentral is "bacterial SSU rRNA". It matches the Rfam family "Bacterial small subunit ribosomal RNA", at positions 337 to 797 of the family's 1533-position model. Lineage: Bacteria; Pseudomonadati; Bacteroidota; Sphingobacteriia; Sphingobacteriales. The record is from RNAcentral.